This is a long non-coding RNA of Bactrocera dorsalis (oriental fruit fly), 1369 nucleotides long. RefSeq lists it as uncharacterized. The transcript has 3 exons. NCBI's taxonomy places the organism in Eukaryota, Metazoa, Arthropoda, Insecta, Diptera, Tephritidae. The record is from RefSeq and is a predicted model, not a curated record.
CGGACGCGUCACAUGCCGGCGUUGUUGGGCGCGUUUGCGCGACGCCAGUGUUGAUUUGGUCGUUUGCUUGUUUAUUUGUGUUGGUAGUGGUUACGUCGGUCACAAAAUGUGAUAGUGGUGCGUGCGGGUGGUUAUGGUUGGACAGGCGGGACGGUUAGUAAGCGGCGAGCGGUUGUUCUGACGGUUAAUAUAAUUUUUGGACAUCAGCGUAAAUAAAGUUGUGAAAAAAUUGGCUUUUAAGCGAGUGAAAUGCAGAUAUUUGCGUCUACAGGAACAGGGAGUUCAACUAGCAUACCCUACUGCUUCUUAACAAUACGCAAAGUUCCCAAAAUAUAGUUUAGUAAGGACCACUACAAACCACUCUGAAUCAUUGAGAGGAGAGCUGGCGUGACAGUCAUCAGCAAAAGGCUUAAAGGUGUUCGUCAACAUUUGCACUUCCUUACCUGUUUAGACAUAAAAAACAUAUGGCAAAUAAAUGUGCGCCUAAAAAGCUGCUACGUUCAGUAUAAAAGCGGAAAUUUAUGCGUGUGUGAAUAUAUUUACGAAAUAAUACAUAUGCAUGCAUCUAGAACGAAGAGAAACCAUGAAGGAAUUACAAAAGUGUUUUUUUCGUAAUUUUUAAUGUUUGAAAAGUUCGAACAACAUUCAUACUAAUACUAUAAUAAAGAAAAUUAUGUUAAUGAAAGCGGUUUCAAGCAGCUAUUAUUAACGAAAAAAAGUAAUAACAAAAUUUGCAAAGAUAAAAAAAGUGAUACUAUCCCGCAAAUAAAAAGGUUUUCCAAACAAAAGCAGAAUCCUCUUAAUCGUUCAGUUUGUAUGGCAGAUAUGCUAUAGUGCGCCGAUCUAAGCAAUUUCCUCGGAGAUAGUACCGUUGCCCAGCACAAUAUACUAAAGUGGUCCGGUAUCGGCGAUUCUGAGAAAUGCGCAGCUUCUCAGAGAGAAAUUGUGCGAAAUUUCACUUGUAUAUCUUAAAACCUGACGGAAUAGAUCGCGUAAGUACAAACGGAUAGACAUGCCUAAAUCAGCGCACUUGAUCAUUUCUGUAUACACCUUUGGAUCUCUGAUUUUUCCUCCAGAGUGUUAUAAACUUCGUGGCAAACUUAAUAGUGCCCUAUUCAGGGUAUAAAAAUCAUACACAAACAAGCUAGUGUACGGUUAAAAACCGGAAGGAAGGUUUAAUAGCACGGAAAUUUACUUUUUCAAUGAAAUUAAAAUAAAUGAAUAGGCGGUUCGCAUACUAGCGACUUAGUAGCAAAUGAAACACACAAAUCAUUUUCAAAAUAGUCUUUUAUACACAUUGAUUGUUUACAAAUUUUCUUUACAAUAUACAUUCCUUUAAAUUCAUGCUACAAUUUUCUAUUAAAUGCUA